UACAGAGGUCUCAAGCGUUGUUCGGAUUCAUUGGGCGUAAAGGGUGCGUAGGUGGCGUCGUAAGUCAGAUGUGAAAUUUCGGAGCUUAACUCCGAAACUGCAUUUGAUACUGCGGUGCUUGAGGACUGGAGAGGAGACUGGAAUUUACGGUGUAGCGGUGAAAUGCGUAGAUAUCGUAAGGAAGACCAGUGGCGAAGGCGGGUCUCUGGACAGUUCCUGACGCUGAGGCACGAAGGUCAGGGGAGCAAACGGG
RNAcentral lists this ribosomal RNA (253 nucleotides) under uncultured bacterium. RNAcentral describes it as "partial 16S ribosomal RNA". It matches the Rfam family "Bacterial small subunit ribosomal RNA", at positions 524 to 776 of the family's 1533-position model. The record is from RNAcentral.